This 4978-nucleotide long non-coding RNA is filed under the name Sus scrofa (pig). RNAcentral's name for it is "lncRNA (ENSSSCG00030053349.1)". Lineage: Eukaryota; Metazoa; Chordata; Mammalia; Artiodactyla; Suidae. The record is from RNAcentral.
ACACCUGCAUUGGGCACCUGAACUUUCUUUGUUCCAUACCCUCUACUCUUGGUACCUCAGGUUUGGGUGACCUCUAUUAGUGGAUCUUUUCUCCUGUGACUCGGUAAUUGCGAAUAGCCAGGUCUCUCUCAAUGAGAGUUUGGAGGAGGGGGAACUAUUACCCUUGUCUUUAUAUUUCUCUCAUUCCUACCUAUCUCUCUAUGCCUGUUUCCUCUUCUACAAAACUGGGAUAAUAAUAGUUAUCCAUAGGAUUAUUAGUGAAGACUAAAUGAGUUAAUGCAUAUGAAGAAGCUAGAACAGUGUCAGGCACUAUCAAAAUUUUGCUGUGGUUGUUAUUAACAGUAUUGUUAGUAUUAUUACUGCCCUGGCUUGAGCUCAGUCAAGAAUGGCAUGUGGCCAAUUCUCAGCUACAGUUAAUAGUAGUUUAUAGUUAAUAAAAGCCAACUGAAGAGGGAGAAUUCAAAUAUAUUCAUUCAGUAAUUUUUGUGAUAUCCACUAUGUGCUAGGCACAGUGUUAUUUACUGACAACUUUCUAUGAUCUAAUAAAGCCAGAGGAGCUGUGUUCAAACAAUAAUUAAAAGCAUCAUAAAGAUGAACUCAGAGUUUAAUGUAAAGAAUGCCUAGACCCUUGGUCAGUGGCAUGAAUGGCAUUUCCUUGCCUACCUUGGCUGAAGCAAGGGUCCCCUUCCCAACUGAAUUCUUACUCUUUUAACUGACAACACUUACACUUUGUUCUCUUCUCUGCUUGAGAUUUUUUACAGUUUCAUCCUAUUUCUCCUCUGGAUUUCCCCCCUACACAACCACAAUGCUUCAUUUGUUUAGAUCAGUUUAAUCAUUUUCCAGGCAUGGUGAACAGUUUUCCUAUGUGCUUCUUAUUCUCUUCACCAUAGUUCUCGACAUCUAUUGGUUCUAUAAGUUGAUUCAGCCUAGUGGAUGUAUUUGGUGUUUUAAGUUGUGUCAGGUAUGGAGUUAAAAGGUAAAUAUUAAGCUGUUCUUUUCCUUGAGGAGCCCUAUAGUUCCAUGUGGAAGAGACAGGCCCCAAAGUAGGGCAUCUCAGUAUGUUAUGGGGAGUCUGAACGCACAGUAUGCUUUGGCAUCCAUCCAUGUCACAGCUUCCCCUCCACCCCCGUUUCUCAUUACAACACGUACUGCCCAUUAUGUGAAAACCUGGUAUUCUUGACUCACAAUCUGUAGGCGUUACACUCUGUUUUAUACUCUGAGUUUUUUCCAGUACUGGUAAUGGGUUGUACUGAAUCAUUUAUUUACAUUUCCUUGGCCAGUUUAUUUUGACACAUGACAUGUAUUUACUGAUGGAGAAAACACAUGCAGUUUGUGGAUAUGGUGUAAUAUUUUUCCUUUGGAAAUAGAAGAGAGACCUCACUUAAGUUUUACUGGAUGAAUAGUCACCUUGAUGUUUUUAAAUGGUUUCAAAGCAGUACAUGCUGCACUAUCCCUUCUGUGCUUAUUUACAUACAUGUAGACACAUACAUGUUACAAAGAAUAGGAAGAAGAUAGUAAUAUAUAUAUAAUGUACUAUUUGAAUAAUAUUUGAAGCAAAGGAAAACAAGUGGCACAUCACUAAUUUGGACUCUUUCACAUGUUUAUUACCAUAUUUAUUUAUUGAGACUAAGCAUCCAUGCCUUCAUUAAUCCUUAGUGCUUGCUAUGAAAUUAUUUCUUGUUCCACAUAUUUUUAAUCAAUCUGGAUCCAAGUUCAGUCAAUAUUUAAUACACUGUAGGAAUUUCUUUCACUUUAUUGAAUUUGCAUUGCUCAUCUAGUUCUAGAAUAACUUAUUUUCUUAUAGUUAUUGUGCCUAUAAUUCUGUUAUUUCCUCAAGAAGAGUAGGGAUAUCUAGCUAUGACUUGGUGGGACCACAGAUUAGAUCUUUCCAUCUUAGGUUAUGUAGCAGUAACAUUAGCACAUGAUCCAACUUCUUACACGGUGCUUUGGCCAAGAUGUUACUCUUAGUUUUUCUCCCAUCUCUCUGAGUGGUACUUUUGGCAUGGUUUUGUAGCCUUUGGUCCCUCUGCUGGUGUCUCCAGUGUUCCCCAGGAUUUUCUCCUUGGCCCAUUUCUAUCUAUCUUCUUCUUAUACAUGCUCCAUUUGUCAUCUCAUUCACUCUCAUGACUUUAAGUAACACCCAUAAGAUUUUUUUUCUUAGCCACACCUGAGGCCAGGGAUCGAAACCAAGAUCUGAGCAGUGACCCAAGCUGCUGUAGUGACAACACAAAUCCUUAACCCACUGAGCCAUAAGAGAAUUCCAAAUGCCCAUAAGAUACUGAAUGCCUGAUAUGUAUUUCCAGGCUGGAUCUUUUCAGCUUCCUAAGGAAAUCACCAGGACCUCGCAAUGGCGCUACAAGCCCUACCUGACUCUAUUGAAAUCUGUCACUUGUUCCUCCUCCUUGUCCCCUUCAUGGUGAAGCAGCAUUUCUCUACAGAGAAACCAAAGUCACUUGUGAUGCUCUUUCUCUUUCACCUUCCACAUGAAAUCCUAUCAUUCAACCCAAGUGCACCUCCCCUGUUCUUUCUGAUUUCCUGACACUGCUUAACUCAAAGCCUUUCUCAUCCCUUACCUGAAAGACUGACAGACUCUCUCUUUCAUUUCUUACUUCUACUACCCACAUUGCCAUGAGUACCAACUUUCAAACAUGUACCUCCUUCAUUCUGAGUCAUGCCCAUGGGCUGUAGGAUAAAGUUCAAACUCUCCAGCAGGACCUACAAAGCACUCUUCCACAUCUGGCUGAGCAAUCAGCCUCAUCUCCUAGUUCAGGUCUCCUCAUGAUGCUCAGACAAGUCCUUUGCCCCAGACACUUCACCUUUUCCCAAUAUGGUCUUUGCCCUUUUAUUUUUUUGUAUUUUGUUCAUGCUAUUUAUUCUCUGUGGACUGCCCUCCCUCUUCCCUCUUCUCUGCUGAGAAAACUCUUCCUCAUUUUUUUUUGUCUUUUUUUUUUUUUUUUUUUAGGGCCACACCUGUGGCAUAUGGAGGUUCCCAGGCUAGGGGUCCAAUCAGAGCAGUAGCAGUCAGCCUAUACCACAGCCACAGCAAUGCCAGAUCCUAGCCACAUCUGCAACCUACACCACAGCUCAACACCGGAUCCUUAACCCACUGAGUGAGGCCAGGAAUGGAACCCACAACCUCAUGGUUCCUAGUCGGAUUUAUUUCCACUGCGCCACGACAGGAACACCUCUUCCUCCUUUUUUAGGGCUCAUUGCAGAUCUCACCUGCUUGAGAUGCCUUUUCCAGGCUUCCCACUCUGUGGGCUGCUCCUCACACUGUGCCUCCACAUCACUCUGUACUGACCUUGGAUAUGUUCAACACCAGAACUCAGUAGUGCACUCAUUUAUCUCUUUUAUAACUAAACUUUGAGCUCUGGUUGGAUAGGAAACUUCAAGUCAUCCAACAUUUUUUCAAUUACCCAACGCAGUCCCUGUCAUAUACAAGACUCCCUCAACUGUAGACCAAAGAAGUAAACUUUAUAGUAAUAGUUAAAGAAAUAUCAAGAAAAGCAUUUUGUGUGUUUUUUUUUUCUCAUGCCCGUCCUCAGCUGUAUCAGUCACUCAUUUGUCCAUCUUUCGGUUUCCUCCGUCUCCUUUAAUACUACUUUCUCAUCUUUCUUUCAGGUAUGGGCCUUCAGUAUUGCAAAGCAUUAGAACCGGGUAUAUCUGCAGUUUCCUGGUGGUUUGGAGUGUUAAUAUUUUAAACACCUUUGAGUUUAAUAGCCUGUCUUUCUCUAAACUAGACCUGUCAGUGAGAGUGCCAAGUGCCUCCUCAGUUCUCCCACCUCUGAAACGCCCUAGCUGUUCAAUCCUAAUUGGAAACAUUUUAGGGGUAGAAGUGGCUUUUUGUUACUCUAAAUUUCUGUUAACCUAAGGGAUGGCUUUGCAUCACAUUCAUAUGCCUUGUGGUUGCCACCUUUUUAUUUUUUGUGUGGCCAAAAUUCAUAAAUCAAGAUCAGAACACCCAGUUUUUCUCAAAUCAUCCUAAGCUGUCAUGAUCUUAUUUUUUUCCAAUCAGAAUGAGAUUUUUCUCACAAGCUGUGAUUCUUACUCCACCAACUCCUCCUUCCUGAUAGAAACUUCAUAUAUAUUGAAGGGGCUUUGUGUGUUCUAUUAUUAUUAAAGCUAUAUUUUGUCAGAUUAAUGCUGUCUGUUCACAAAGAAGCAUUGCCAUUUUCUUCUCAAUGUAAUUGGGCAGGGGUUGAAUGCCUUUAUAAACAAAAAUAUAAAACAAUUCUUAACAUAUUCUGAUAAAUAAUAUAGUCCCAAAAGAUAUUUCCUUUGUGAUAAAUUGAACUCUAAUUCAUGAAUUUUUAAAUUGUUCCUUCCUGCUAUAGACAUGAAUUUCUAAAGUGUGUGUGUGUGUGUGUGUGUGUGUGUGUGUGUGUGUGUGUGUAGACAUUAAUUAUUGUCAGGGUGGGGAGUAGAGCAAAUUGUGGCCCUAAAUUUCUUUUAAUAAUAAUUUAUAUAUCCAUGUCUCCUUUCUUUUCCAAAUCUGGCUUCCUUAUUAUUUUAAUGGUUUCUAGCUUUACUACUAAUGCAUGAACUUGACUUUUCUAAAUCAUCUUUUUAAAUGGAAAGUAAAAGCUGUGAAAUGCAAAAACACUUUCAAGUUAACAAUAGUAAGUUAAUAUUUAUUGAACACUUACCAUGUGCCAGACACUCGAAUAAGCACUUUAUAUAUACUGUCUCCUUUGGUCAAGAAUUAUAAUCCAAAUGCAAACACUAAAUGAAAUACUUAAAAGCAAAGGGAGUUCCUCUUGUGGCUCAGCAGAAACGAAUCCAACUAGGAACCAUGAGGUUGGGGGUUCGAUUCCUGGCCUUACUCAGUGGGCUAAGGAUCCGGUGUUGCCAUGAGCUGUGGUGUAGGUCACAGACACAGCUUGAAUCUGGCAUUGCUGUGGCUGUGGCGUAGGCCGGUGGCUAUGGCUCCGAUUAGACUCCAAGCCUGGGAACCUCCAUAUGCCAUGGGUGCGACCCU